ACGCGAGCUGGGUUCAGAACGUCGUGAGACAGUUCGGUCCCUAUCCGUCGCAGGCGUAGGAAAUUUGAGACGACCUGUCCUUAGUACGAGAGGACCGGGAUGGACGUACCUCUGGUGUACCAGUUGUUCUGCCAAGGGCAUGGCUGGGUAGCUAUGUAUGGAAUGGAUAAGCGCUGAAAGCAUCUAAGCGCGAAGCCAACUUC
RNAcentral lists this ribosomal RNA (203 nucleotides) under Clostridioides difficile. RNAcentral describes it as "partial 23S ribosomal RNA". It matches the Rfam family "Bacterial large subunit ribosomal RNA", at positions 2598 to 2800 of the family's 2925-position model. The record is from RNAcentral. Lineage: Bacteria; Bacillati; Bacillota; Clostridia; Peptostreptococcales; Peptostreptococcaceae.